ACUAAAAUUGGGACUUCCGUUGCUUUACAGCAUCGUUAUGUGGAAUUUUUCAAAAUUGUAAAAAAUGUGUUUCACGGGAAUUUACCACCAAAAAGAAAGCUUAAAAUUGAAAGAAUUGUAGUCGAUUCUCUUCACAAACCUUCCAAAAUACUACCAGAGCUGUGCUUUUUUUGUGCUUCCACACCUCAUUAGUACAGAAUAAUCGGCUUUACCUAACGUGUAAUGAACUGGAUAAUCUUCAUAAACCAAAAAUAUGUGGGUUUUAUCCCACUGAUUUUGCUGUAGAGAUCUACUUCGAAGAGUAGUUACAUAAACUAUUCUAUUUUGGCACACUAUCUGAGGCACCACACCACCAAUGUCUAAAUUCAUGAUACUUUAUAUUUCUGUAUAUAUUAAGAAAAAAAACCCACUAAAAAAAAAGA
Long non-coding RNA from Dipodomys ordii (Ord's kangaroo rat), 422 nucleotides. RefSeq lists it as uncharacterized. The record is from RefSeq and is a predicted model, not a curated record. Lineage: Eukaryota; Metazoa; Chordata; Mammalia; Rodentia; Heteromyidae. The transcript has 3 exons.